RNAcentral lists this ribosomal RNA (245 nucleotides) under uncultured bacterium. RNAcentral's name for it is "partial 16S ribosomal RNA". It matches the Rfam family "Bacterial small subunit ribosomal RNA", at positions 527 to 771 of the family's 1533-position model. The record is from RNAcentral.
GUAUGGAGCAAGCGUUAUCCGGAUUUACUGGGUGUAAAGGGAGCGUAGACGGUGAGGCAAGUCUGAUGUGAAAGCCCGGGGCUCAACCCCGGAACUGCAUUGGAAACUGUCUUACUAGAGUGCAGGAGAGGUAAGCGGAAUUCCUAGUGUAGCGGUGAAAUGCGUAGAUAUUAGGAGGAACACCAGUGGCGAAGGCGGCUUACUGGACUGUAACUGACGUUGAGGCUCGAAAGCGUGGGGAGCAA